CCUAAAAUAACACUGAGAUGUCAGUUCUUUGAAUCAUCUGAGAUGGACCAAAAAUCUAAAGGUAGAAAAAUUAUUAACAGCAUCAGAAUUUCUACUCCUGCAAGACUUUCUGCCUUGGUUUCUUCACUUGGCUGCUGAAGAGCUUGUUUGUAUCUCUAUGGAUUCUAUUCACAUUAUGCAGUUGGACCAGCAGCAAUAACUGUAGCAACAGUAUGUCUAUCAAGAACUGAGGAAUCAGCAGAAAAAGAAACAGCAAAUACAGUUAUUCAUCGUAAUCAUUGUCAUUAGCAGAAACAAAAGAUCCAGAAUGUAUUCCUACAGGGCUCAUUUCUUCUUAAAUAGCCAGUAUUUUGGAUGAGAAGUUCGUUGGUUUUGUAAGGCUUCCUGAUUCACUUAGAAAAAUGAGUCUAUUUUAGGGUAUUAUUUAAUUAAAAAGAAUAUUUAUAUCCUUUUAUUAUCUAAAUGUUUGUAGUUUCUCCAUGCAAAAAAUACUGUGUAUAAACUGGUACUUAAAUAAUAACUUUCUGUUAAAAAAAUGCUAGUUUUAUGGAAUGGAGUCGGUUGAUGCUGAACUUUAAGACACUUACAUAAUGAGUGGAGAGAAGUAGGAUCCUGAGUGCCUUGAAUUCCUGUCUAGGGAUGCCAUGUCUCCUUUGGCUAUGUAGAGAUCUGCACUCUGUGUUAGAUGUUGCUAUUAAUAGUAGAUGUUUUCCCCUUCACAUUAAUAAAUUUCUAGCUAUGCAUACAAGGACAAAUUUUAUGGUUGAAGACUGUAGCAACAAUGUACAUAGAAUUCAGCAAAUGAAAAAAUCUUUCAUACAUUAAAUUCUAGUGUACAGUAAAAAAAAAUAAUAAAGAAAAAUGAGAAAAUAUCAAUAGAGCUAAAAAUAAUCUACAAUGUUGAUAUUACACAAAAUGACAUUUAAAUAAUGUUUCAGUUGCACAAAAGGUAAAGUACUAUUAUUUAUUUAUUUAUUUAUUACUUAAAUUAUGAAUCCUGGAACAGGCAAAUAAACUCUUUACUCUUUCACGUGAAUCAAGUAAAAGAUUCUCCUCUAGAAUGCAGGAUUACCGUGGUCCUAAAAAAAGAUGAAGCAACAAGCAGUUACUGGAAAAGAAGCAGACUGAAAAAUGAUAAACCUAUGCUGAGAUUCAUGCCGAUGUUACUGGCUCAGUAAUUUGUGGAUUAGAUUCAAAGAGGUAGAAGCAUAGAAUCACUGAAUGAUUGAGGGACUACAUGGGAUCAUCCAGUCCAUCCCCCUGCAGGGUCACCUAGGGCACAUUACCCUGAAUUACAUCCAGGUAUAGAAGAACUUCUUGUGUUUCAUGUUGAGCUCAUUACCUCUUGUCCUGUUGCCAGGCACCGUAGCCUGGUCCCAUCCUCUUGGAACUCUCCCUUAAGGUACUUGCACACAUUCACUGUCUUUAGUAAUGUAUAUAUACUUUUCUUUGUACAUACAUGUACAAGUUGAAGGGUGGAUGCAAAAUUACUAGCUUUUUGCAUGUGAAUUUCAUAUUUAGAUGCUCUUUUAUCCUGUUCCUAAAAUGUUCUAUGAUAAUGUUACAUUUUCUAAGUUUGAUCUGCACUCCAUCUUUAGCCAAUGAAAAAUUGGAUAGUACUUCAGAACUGCAUUUCUAAUGAGAUCCCAGCUACGGGCAUGUAUAAACAAUAAAGGGUAUCAAUCACGUUUAGCAUCAUAGAGAUUUCUGCUUGCUUUCUUUUCAAUUAACUGGUUCAUAAAA
Long non-coding RNA from Coturnix japonica (Japanese quail), 1743 nucleotides. RefSeq lists it as uncharacterized. The record is from RefSeq and is a predicted model, not a curated record. Lineage: Eukaryota; Metazoa; Chordata; Aves; Galliformes; Phasianidae.